CCUAUAGCCCCAACUCCACCACCGCCUCAGCAGGAAACACGGCCACCUGUAGCUCGUGGGUUACCCGCCCAGCCAUAUGGAGAAAGAGAGCUUGCCUUAUAAACUCCUUGGGGAAACUUCUGAUUGGCUUCACCUUUAUCCAAACAACUCUCUCCAGGGGAACACAGCAAGACCAUACUGUACAAAGUAGCUGCAGGAGCACUGUGAUAAGGUGACUUGAGAACCUGUCUCAUCAGCCCUACACGCACAUGCUCUCAUCCCAAACUUCUCACUGCUGAAGUGGAUGCUCUCUCAGAUGUGCGGAUGAGAGAUCCGGCAGCCCAGAGGCACCCCCUUGUCUGCUGACCUUCCUGACCGAAGAAGUACCUUGGACUUCAGGGACUGAUUACUGUGACACUGAGACCCUGUUGUCAGCAUUUCUGGAACGCACAUCCUGUUAUCUGUGUGGGCAAAUGAGUGUCAUCCAAAUAUAUCUGAGCCAUACUGCUUCAGCCUCAAGGCCUGGUUUCCUACAGUGCCG
This 520-nucleotide long non-coding RNA is filed under the name Capra hircus (goat). RNAcentral describes it as "lncRNA (ENSCHIG00000002037.1)". The record is from RNAcentral. Lineage: Eukaryota; Metazoa; Chordata; Mammalia; Artiodactyla; Bovidae.